This 72-nucleotide transfer RNA is filed under the name Sphaerodactylus townsendi. RNAcentral describes it as "tRNA-Leu". It matches the Rfam family "tRNA". Rfam says of the family: Transfer RNA (tRNA) molecules are approximately 80 nucleotides in length. Their secondary structure includes four short double-helical elements and three loops (D, anti-codon, and T loops). Lineage: Eukaryota; Metazoa; Chordata; Lepidosauria; Squamata; Sphaerodactylidae. The record is from RNAcentral.
GGAAGCAUGGCUCAGUGGUAGAGCCACAUCUUUGCAUGCAGAAGGUUCCAGGUUCAAUCCCUGGCAUCUCCA